RNAcentral lists this unclassified non-coding RNA (497 nucleotides) under Hevea brasiliensis (rubber tree). The record is from RNAcentral. Lineage: Eukaryota; Viridiplantae; Streptophyta; Magnoliopsida; Malpighiales; Euphorbiaceae.
CUCGUGGGGGAGCGAGGCUGUGACCCGCAAGACGCGUAUCCUUGACGUUGUGUACAAUGCUUCGAACAAUGAGCUUGUGAGGACCAAGACGCUGGUGAAGAGCGCCAUCGUGGAGGUUGAUGCUGCUCCAUUCAAGCAGUGGUAUUUGCAACACUAUGGCGUUGAAGUAGGGAGGAAGAAGAAGUCUGCGGCUGCGGUUGCGAAGAAGGAGGCUGCUGAGGGAACCAAAAAGGAGGGUGCUGAGGAGGUUGAAGGUGCUGCAGUGGAGGCGAAGAAGAGCAAUCAUGUGACAAGGAAGCUGGAGAAGCGGCAACAAGGCCGUGUUCUCCAAUCCAACAUCGAGGAUCAGUUUGGGGGUGGUAGGUUGCUAGCUUGCAUUUCUUCUCGCCCUGGUCAGUGUGGCAGAUGUGAUGGGUACAUUCUUGAAGGCAAAGAGUGGGAUUUCUACAACAGGAAAAUCCAGAAGAAGAAGGGCAAGGCUGGUGCUGCUGCUUAGG